AUAUAUCAAUUUCCUAUUUUGAAAUCGCCAACUCCAGGUGUUUCACCAAGAGUUAAUUGCAGUAUAUAAAGUCGAAGGACAUCAUCAAUGCUGAGUGCUUCUCAGAAGGAUCUUAGGGAGAGUAAGCUGGAAGCACUGCAUUUGUCCUUUGCAAAGCCUUCAAGCAGUAUUUGUUUACAUGAUGUGGAGAGAAAGAAAUAAGAGAGAUUGUUGUCUACAUAUAAGAGGAAGAAGACUGAAAGAUGGAGCUCAAUGGCUGGCUACUACACUGCAAGGUGUGCCUUAGAGGGACGGACAACUGCAUAGAGCAAAUGCGACUGUUAGCAUAGGUUGAAUCUGUCUAGUACCGGUAUAGAUCAGUUGUGGUUAGAAGAACUUGAGAAAUGGAUGGUCUGACCCAUUUGGCUUUGUAACUCGAUGGGUGUCUCAACAACAAUAUGCAGGUUUCCUGUGUCAUAUUAUGAGUAGUGUCCCUAUUUUCGGCUCUUAGUCUUUUGAAACAAUCCAGACAACUUGAAUGCCAACAACUUGUAUCGCAAAGGUAUGACCGGCAUCCCUUAUCAUGAGAGCUACAAAGGAGAAGAACGACAUUGUGUGGAUGAUCCAUGCAUAUAGGGCAUGAAGCUCCAUCCAAUUCCUUGUACAGGACAUGCAUAUCUAUAUCAUUUGACAUGCUUCGUUUCCUACCAGCCAUCUACGUACAAUGGAACCAUUAGACUAAUGCAACAGCUAGCAAUAUGGAAACAGGACAUUUUGUACUUUGACAAGCAGUAAGCAAACUAAACUGUCUAAAUACCACAACUCCAAGUUAUAAAAAUAUAUCAUUAACGAGUUUGUGCAAACUAACGAACCUCAAGAAUGACAGAAAUUGCCCUAACUACCAUGUUGUUAGAGUUUGUGAUAAUUAAAGUGUUUACGUAAAAAACUAACGAGGGGUAAUUUUGAUCUAUUUCAGAUAGUUCAGGGGUAUUUUUGAUCCUUUUUCGAACUCCGUUAGAGAGAGGGGUAUUUUUGAACCAAAUAAGAAAUAUUUGAACCAUGAUUGUUCCUAGCUCAACUAGGAUUUAUACUAUUA
RNAcentral lists this long non-coding RNA (1075 nucleotides) under Capsicum annuum. RNAcentral describes it as "long non-coding RNA (CANN_LNC005838)". The record is from RNAcentral. Lineage: Eukaryota; Viridiplantae; Streptophyta; Magnoliopsida; Solanales; Solanaceae.